Molecule: ribosomal RNA, 299 nt
Filed under: Lysobacter gummosus
Lineage: Bacteria; Pseudomonadati; Pseudomonadota; Gammaproteobacteria; Lysobacterales; Lysobacteraceae
Description: partial 16S ribosomal RNA
Rfam family: Bacterial small subunit ribosomal RNA
Source: RNAcentral
CGUAAGCGUGGCGUAGGUGGUUUGUUAAGUCUGAUGUGAAAGACCUGGGCUCAACCUGGGAAUGGCAUUGGAAACUGGCUGACUAGAGUGCGGUAGAGGGUAGUGGAAUUCCCGGUGUAGCAGUGAAAUGCGUAGAUAUCGGGAGGAACAUCUGUGGCGAAGGCGACUACCUGGACCAGCACUGACACUGAGGCACGAAAGCGUGGGGAGCAAACACGAUUAUAUACCCUGGUAGUCCACGCCCUAAACGAUGCGAACUGAAUGUUGGGAGCAACUUGGCUCUCAGUAUCGAAGCUAAC